This 703-nucleotide ribosomal RNA is filed under the name Pseudomonas citronellolis. RNAcentral describes it as "bacterial SSU rRNA". It matches the Rfam family "Bacterial small subunit ribosomal RNA", at positions 31 to 729 of the family's 1533-position model. Lineage: Bacteria; Pseudomonadati; Pseudomonadota; Gammaproteobacteria; Pseudomonadales; Pseudomonadaceae. The record is from RNAcentral.
GAACGCUGGCGGCAGGCCUAACACAUGCAAGUCGAGCGGAUGAAGGGAGCUUGCUCUNUGAUUCAGCGGCGGACGGGUGAGUAAUGCCUAGGAAUCUGCCUGGUAGUGGGGGACAACGUUCCGAAAGGAGCGCUAAUACCGCAUACGUCCUACGGGAGAAAGUGGGGGAUCUUCGGACCUCACGCUAUCAGAUGAGCCUAGGUCGGAUUAGCUAGUAGGUGGGGUAAUGGCUCACCUAGGCGACGAUCCGUAACUGGUCUGAGAGGAUGAUCAGUCACACUGGAACUGAGACACGGUCCAGACUCCUACGGGAGGCAGCAGUGGGGAAUAUUGGACAAUGGGCGAAAGCCUGAUCCAGCCAUGCCGCGUGUGUGAAGAAGGUCUUCGGAUUGUAAAGCACUUUAAGUUGGGAGGAAGGGCAGUAAGUUAAUACCUUGCUGUUUUGACGUUACCAACAGAAUAAGCACCGGCUAACUUCGUGCCAGCAGCCGCGGUAAUACGAAGGGUGCAAGCGUUAAUCGGAAUUACUGGGCGUAAAGCGCGCGUAGGUGGUUUGGUAAGAUGGAUGUGAAAUCCCCGGGCUCAACCUGGGAACUGCAUCCAUAACUGCCUGACUAGAGUACGGUAGAGGGUGGUGGAAUUUCCUGUGUAGCGGUGAAAUGCGUAGAUAUAGGAAGGAACACCAGUGGCGAAGGCGACCACC